This 384-nucleotide ribosomal RNA is filed under the name Triticum aestivum (bread wheat). Its description in RNAcentral is "partial small subunit ribosomal RNA". The record is from RNAcentral. Lineage: Eukaryota; Viridiplantae; Streptophyta; Magnoliopsida; Poales; Poaceae.
AUGUGUGAACGGAGGGAGUAUUUCCUACAAAGGUUGCUGGCCAGGUCCACAUUUCUUCAUGUCACUUUCUCUCGAUCGCUUCUUGUCCGUCUCUUGAAUGGCAACUUGUUCUAUUCAGUCAACAAUUCAACUAUAUUGAAGUCUUUGUCUUUCAGGGCUUCCGGAUGGCUGAUGUAUACUCCUGCAAUAAAGCUUUUGGGGUAUGAUUCGAGCCACUCGUGCUUCAGCCAAUCAUCCAUCGUACAGCUGGCAAGUGAAAUAAGUCUCUAUUAUUUCAACAGUUGGCUGCUAUCGGAAAGAAACCGUAAACUUGGCAACAUAUGGACUUCAGCGGUGCAGACAGACGGAGAAGUCUUCAUUUUUUCAAAAGAAACUGACAUCUGA